GGUUACAACAGUCUUCCUCUUAGAGGAAAUGAAGACAAGGUUCUGAGGGGUGAAAUAUAGAUGUAAAACCUGGCCGGGCACAUUGGCUCAUGCCUGUAAUCCAAGCACUUUGGGAGGCUGAGGCGGGAGGAUUGAUUGAGGCCAGGAGUUUGAGACCAGCCUGGGCAACACAUUUCCUCUAUCUCACUGUGAACGAAGAGGAUCAGGUUUCCACCCAACUAGACAGCCAGACAGAGAAACCUCUUUUCAGAACAUUGUACUGAAUAUCUACUAUGUGCUAGUCAUUGGACUUGCAAACACGAGCAAGACAGAGUCCCUGCCCUCCAGAACCCUCCCUGAUUUCCAGAAGCUCCUGAACCUUUUCUGCCUUCUGGAACCUUCCCUGCCUUUCAGAACCUUCUGUGCUUCCAGAAGCUCACUAGUACCUUUCUCUUUCCAGUGCAUUCCUAGUGCUUAUCUUAUAGUAGAAUUUCAUUAGGUUAAUUCACUUAAUAACUCUAGAGAAUUUUCCAUGUCAUAUAUACUGUUCUUGGCUCGGGAAGUUCUUAUUCAUCUCCACGUGUGAUAAGACUUUGGUGAAUAAAUGCACCAUUUUUAUUCCAUGGAUAUUUAUUUUGUUGUGUUUCCUAAUUUUUGUCAAGAAAUGGAAACAGCAGCAAUGAAAUUGGCUCUUAUCUUUUUGGAUCCUUAAGAAAUAGGUGCCUUUUGAAGAAUCCGGGGAGAAGUAACGCAAGACCCCAGAAGUAUGCCAACAUAUAAAACCCCAAGUCAAAGGUCAAACCAUGCAUUUGAUCCCUCAAGUCCCCUGCUUGACCCUCUUCCAAGUGUACUUUCCUUCCUUUCAUUCCUGCUCUAAAGCUUUUUAAUCAACUUUCACUCCUGCUCCAAAAAAAAAAAAAAGAAAUAGGUGUUUUGUUUUUUUUUUUUUGAGUUGGAGUCUCACUGUUACCCAGGCUGUAGUGCAGUGAUGCGAUCUCAGCUCACUGCAACCUCUGCCUCCCAUGUUCAAGCGAUUCUCCUGCCUCAGUCUCCCAAGUAGCUGGGAUUACAGGCGCCCACUACCAUGCUUGGCUAAUUUUUGUAUUUUU
This is a long non-coding RNA of Symphalangus syndactylus (siamang), 1088 nucleotides long. RefSeq lists it as uncharacterized. Lineage: Eukaryota; Metazoa; Chordata; Mammalia; Primates; Hylobatidae. The record is from RefSeq and is a predicted model, not a curated record.